RNAcentral lists this ribosomal RNA (301 nucleotides) under uncultured bacterium. Its description in RNAcentral is "partial 16S ribosomal RNA". It matches the Rfam family "Bacterial small subunit ribosomal RNA", at positions 509 to 807 of the family's 1533-position model. The record is from RNAcentral.
CAGUCGCCGCGGGAAUACGGAGGGUGCAAGCGUUAAUCGGAAUUACUGGGCGUAAAGCGCACGCAGGCGGUUUGUUAAGUCAGAUGUGAAAUCCCCGAGCUUGACUUGGGAACUGCAUUUGAUACUGGCAAGCUAGAGUCUUGUAGAGGGGGGUAGAAUUCCAGGUGUAGCGGUGAAAUGCGUAGAGAUCUGGAGGAAUACCGGUGGCGAAGGCGGCCCCCUGGACAAAGACUGACGCUCAGGUGCGAAAGCGUGGGGAGCAAACAGGAUUAGAUACCCCUGUAGUCCCUGUCUCUUAUAC